UUCCAGACUCCUACGGGAGGCAGCAGUGAGGAAUAUUGGUCAAUGGGCUUACGCCUGAACCAGCCAAGUCGCGUGAGGGAAGACUGCCCUAUGGGUUGUAAACCUCUUUUGUCAGGGAGCAACGCCGGCUACGUGUAGCCGGACUGAGAGUACCUGAAGAAAAAGCAUCGGCUAACUCCGUGCCAGCAGCCGCGGUAAUACGUAGGGGGCAAGCGUUAUCCGGAUUUACUGGGUGUAAAGGGGGCGCAGACGGCGAUGCAAGCCAGGAGUGAAAGCCCGGGGCCCAACCCCGGGACUGCUCUUGGAACUGCGUGGCUGGAGUGCAGGAGGGGCAGGCGGAAUUCCUGGUGUAGCGGUGAAAUGCGUAGAUAUCAGGAGGAACACCGGUGGCGAAGGCGGCCUGCUGGACUGCAACUGACGUUGAGGCCCGAAAGCGUGGGGAGCAAACAGGAUUAGAUACCCUAGUA
This 467-nucleotide ribosomal RNA is filed under the name uncultured bacterium. Its description in RNAcentral is "bacterial SSU rRNA". It matches the Rfam family "Bacterial small subunit ribosomal RNA", at positions 329 to 792 of the family's 1533-position model. The record is from RNAcentral.